This is a long non-coding RNA of Perca fluviatilis (European perch), 429 nucleotides long. RefSeq lists it as uncharacterized. Lineage: Eukaryota; Metazoa; Chordata; Actinopteri; Perciformes; Percidae. The transcript is spliced from 3 exons. The record is from RefSeq and is a predicted model, not a curated record.
GUGGGUUCGACUGUGGAAGUUGCAGGGAAGCAAAGGCGAUGGGAGGCGAGAUGUUUGAACUAAUACUGUUGAAUGGCUGGUGACUCAAAUCAUGAAAGGUAAAAGAAGCGGCUCCGCUGCGUUCAACUGCUUCCAGAUGUGGAAUGCCAGAGAUAAUCUGUCGUUUUGGAUCUAAAUGAGAGCGGGUGUCUUGCAGAAGCUGAAGGUCCAGAUCUGACUCCCAGAUUGUAGACAUCCUACACAUACACAAGGGCAAACCUGACGUCGUCAUGGGAGCAGCAUAAUGUGCCCUGAGAGGACAGCAGUCCUAUAGAAAACAUCAUUCUCUAUCCCCGUGUUCAAGGGUAUGGCCUUUGUGAGCCAGUUGGGCCUAAUGGAGUUAUUGCAUUGCUCUGAUUUUCUCUGCAGUUGAAGAAUAAAAUGGCUCAA